RNAcentral lists this ribosomal RNA (440 nucleotides) under uncultured bacterium. RNAcentral's name for it is "partial 16S ribosomal RNA". It matches the Rfam family "Bacterial small subunit ribosomal RNA", at positions 338 to 795 of the family's 1533-position model. The record is from RNAcentral.
CCUACGGGAGGCAGCAGUAGGGAAUAUUGCUCAAUGGGGGAAACCCUGAAGCAGCAACGCCGCGUGGAGGAUGAAGGUUUUCGGAUUGUACACUCCUUUUGUCAGAGAAGAUAAUGACGGUAUCUAACGAAUAAGCACCGGCUAACUCCGUGCCAGCAGCCGCGGUAAUACGGAGGGUGCAAGCGUUACUCGGAAUCACUGGGCGUAAAGGGCGCGUAGGCGGGAUAGCAAGUCAGAUGUGAAAUCCUAUGGCUUAACCAUAGAACUGCAUUUGAAACUGUUAUUCUAGAGUAUGGGAGAGGUAGGUGGAAUUCUUGGUGUAGGGGUAAAAUCCGUAGAGAUCAAGAGGAAUACUCAUUGCGAAGGCGACCUGCUAGAACAUAACUGACGCUGAUGCGCGAAAGCGUGGGGAGCAAACAGGAUUAGAUACCCCUGUAGUC